This 315-nucleotide ribosomal RNA is filed under the name Triticum aestivum (bread wheat). Its description in RNAcentral is "partial small subunit ribosomal RNA". Lineage: Eukaryota; Viridiplantae; Streptophyta; Magnoliopsida; Poales; Poaceae. The record is from RNAcentral.
AUGCAGACACCACCGGCGGUCGCUUCUUCUUUGGCCGGGAAAGGUCGGGGGCGGAAGAAGAAGGAGAAGGCUAGUAGGGGUGGACGUGGCAGCAGGAGAGGUAGGAAGGCUGCCACUACGCCUUCCUCGCCGGCACCCUCAGCUGAUUCACCUGACCACAGGACUGCUCCGUCUAAGAUGGAGCCGCCUGAGGUGGACCCGUCUUGGACCCCGGUCCACGAGCCUUGGGCCGACGAGCCUUUCCCCCACGAGACUCCGGUCCCAGAGGCUUUGUCCCACGAGACUCUGGAUCAUGCUACGUCGCAGCCGAACUGA